This 27-nucleotide non-coding RNA is filed under the name Bombyx mori (domestic silkworm). Lineage: Eukaryota; Metazoa; Arthropoda; Insecta; Lepidoptera; Bombycidae. The record is from RNAcentral.
UAGUAUCAGGUGAAUCUGUGUGAGUGU